UUCUACCUAGAUAGUAAAAUGGCCCUUGCAGAACUGUUACUGAUGAGAGAAAACAGGUAAGGAGACUGCAAGCAGACUUUGGGGAUCAUGUUUUUUGUAGUUCAGAGUUUUCCUCACCUCGGGCUAGUGGUACAGCACAUUCAUUGUUAUCCAGUGGAAAAAUCUAACUUGCUAGAAAUGAGAAAACUUCUAUAUAAAUAUUAGCACAGGUACCCUUGACUCCAAAAGAUCUGUUAUCACAUCUUAAUCCAAAGAGUCACUGGCAAAACAUAAUUAAUUCUUCAUCUAAUUUUAGUGCUCACAUGGAGUGGCCAAGAAGAAGUAGUGAGUCAUACCUCUCAAGUGCAGCUGUCCAACAGAGCCAUGGAACUGCUAAGAGUAAAAGGUCAAAGAUCCUGGUCUGUUGGACUAUCAGUAGCUGACAUGGUUGACAGUAUUGUAAACAAUAAGAAGAAAGUGCAUUCUGUAUCAACUUUAGCAAAGGGAUAUUAUGAUAUAAAUAGUGAAGUGUUUUUAAGUUUGCCUUGCAUCCUUGGAACCAAUGGAGUAUCUGAAGUUAUCAAAA
This 565-nucleotide small RNA is filed under the name Pan troglodytes (chimpanzee). Its description in RNAcentral is "retained intron". The record is from RNAcentral. Lineage: Eukaryota; Metazoa; Chordata; Mammalia; Primates; Hominidae.